UAGGGAAUCUUCCGCAAUGGGCGAAAGCCUGACGGAGCAACGCCGCGUGAGUGAUGAAGGUCUUCGGAUCGUAAAACUCUGUUAUUAGGGAAGAACAAAUGUGUAAGUAACUAUGCACGUCUUGACGGUACCUAAUCAGAAAGCCACGGCUAACUACGUGCCAGCAGCCGCGGUAAUACGUAGGUGGCAAGCGUUAUCCGGAAUUAUUGGGCGUAAAGCGCGCGUAGGCGGUUUUUUAAGUCUGAUGUGAAAGCCCACGGCUCAACCGUGGAGGGUCAUUGGAAACUGGAAAACUUGAGUGCAGAAGAGGAAAGUGGAAUUCCAUGUGGAGCGGUGGAAUGCGCAGAGGUAUGGAGGAACACCAGUGGCGAAGGCGACUUUCUGGUCUGUAACUGACGCUGAUGUGCGAAAGCGUGGGGAUCAAACAGG
This 429-nucleotide ribosomal RNA is filed under the name Actinomycetes bacterium. RNAcentral describes it as "Actinobacteria bacterium partial 16S ribosomal RNA". It matches the Rfam family "Bacterial small subunit ribosomal RNA", at positions 355 to 776 of the family's 1533-position model. Lineage: Bacteria; Bacillati; Actinomycetota; Actinomycetes. The record is from RNAcentral.